AGGACCCAGGGUACACAGGGUGGGUGGCUAUUCUCCAGAAAUGUCAGUUUCUGGGCAGGGCUUAGGUGUCUGCAGUCCCUAGUCCCACCCCUGGCCUUGCAUUCCAGCUCAGCGGGUGGAAGGUAUAAAUUUCAGCUGCUCUCAGCCCUGCUGUGUUUUUCCAAAGCCUUCCAACAGCAACAUGAAGUUGGCAGCCUUCCUCCUCCUUGUGAUCCUCAUCAUCUUCAGCCUAGAGGUACAAGAGCUUCAGGCUGCAGGAGACCGGCUUUUGGGUACCUGCGUCGAGCUCUGCACAGGUGACUGGGACUGCAACCCGGGAGACCACUGUGUCAGCAAUGGGUGUGGCCAUGAGUGUGUUGCAGGGUAAGGACAGAUGAAGAGUUAUCUUAAGGAUCAUCUUUCUCUAAGAUCGUCAUCCCUUCCUGGAGUUCCUAUCUUCCAAGAUGUGACUGUCUGGAGUUCCUUGACUAGGAAGAUGGAUGAAAACAGCGAGCCUGUGGAUGGAGACUACAGGGGAUAUGGGAGGCAGGGAAGAGGGGUUGUUUCUUUUAAUAAAUCAUCAUUGUUA
This 568-nucleotide long non-coding RNA is filed under the name Pan troglodytes (chimpanzee). Its description in RNAcentral is "lincRNA". The record is from RNAcentral. Lineage: Eukaryota; Metazoa; Chordata; Mammalia; Primates; Hominidae.